Long non-coding RNA from Oncorhynchus keta (chum salmon), 971 nucleotides. RefSeq lists it as uncharacterized. NCBI's taxonomy places the organism in Eukaryota, Metazoa, Chordata, Actinopteri, Salmoniformes, Salmonidae. The record is from RefSeq and is a predicted model, not a curated record. The transcript has 4 exons.
UGAGUGGGUGAAUGGAGGACUAGAAGGUAGAUAACAGGACAGGUCUGAGUGGGUGAAUGGAGGACUAGAAGGUAGAUAACAGGACAGGUCUGAGUGGGUGAAUGGAGGACUAGAAGGUAGAUAACAGGACAGGUCUGAGUGGGUGAAUGGAGGACUAGAAGGUAGAUAACAGGACAGGUCUGAGUGGGUGAAUGGAGGACUAGAAGGUAGAUAACAGGACAGGUCUGAGUGGGUGAAUGGAGGACUAGAAGGUAGAUAACAGGACAGGUCUGAGUGGGUGAAUGGAGGACUAGAAGGUAGAUAACAGGACAGGUCUGAGUGGGUGAAUGGAGGACUAGAAGGUAGAUAACAGGACAGGUCUGAGUGGGUGAAUGGAGGACUAGAAGGUAGAUAACAGGACAGGUCUGAGUGGGUGAAUGGAGGACUAGAAGGUAGAUAACAGGACAGGUCUGAGUGGGUGAAUGGAGGACUAGAAGGUAGAUAACAGGACAGGUCUGAGUGGGUGAAUGGAGGACUAGAAGGUAGAUAACAGGACAGGUCUGAGUGGGUGAAUGGAGGACUAGAAGGUAGAUAACAGGACAGGUCUGAGUGGGUGAAUGGAGGACUAGAAGGUAGAUAACAGGACAGGUCUGAGUGGGUGAAUGGAGGACUAGAAGGUAGAUAACAGGACAGGUCUGAGUGGGUGAAUGGAGGACUAGAAGGUAGAUAACAGGACAGGUCUGAGUGGGUGAAUGGAGGACUAGAAGGUAGAUAACAGGACAGGUCUGAGUGGGUGAAUGGAGGACUAGAAGGUAGAUAACAGGACAGGUCUGAGUGGGUGAAUGGAGGACUAGAAGGUAGAUAACAGGACAGGUCUGAGUGGGUGAAUGGAGGACUAGAAGGUAGAUAACAGGACAGGUCUGAGUGGGUGAAUGGAGGACUAGAAGGUAGAUAACAGGACAGGUCUGAGUGGGUGAAUGGAGGACUAGAAG